UACCAGACUCCUACGGGAGGCAGCAGUGGGGAAUAUUGCACAAUGGGGGAAACCCUGAUGCAGCGACGCCGCGUGAGCGAUGAAGUAUUUCGGUAUGUAAAGCUCUAUCAGCAGGGAAGAAGAUGACGGUACCUGACUAAGAAGCCCCGGCUAACUACGUGCCAGCAGCCGCGGUAAUACGUAGGGGGCAAGCGUUAUCCGGAUUUACUGGGUGUAAAGGGAGCGUAGACGGCGGCGCAAGCCAGAUGUGAAAGCCCGGGGCUCAACUCCGGGACUGCAUUUGGAACUGUGUGGCUGGAGUGUCGGAGAGGCAGGCGGAAUUCCUAGUGUAGCGGUGAAAUGCGUAGAUAUUAGGAGGAACACCAGUGGCGAAGGCGGCCUGCUGGACGAUGACUGACGUUGAGGCUCGAAAGCGUGGGGAGCAAACAGGAUUAGAUCCCCCAGUA
Molecule: ribosomal RNA, 446 nt
Filed under: uncultured bacterium
Lineage: Bacteria
Description: bacterial SSU rRNA
Rfam family: Bacterial small subunit ribosomal RNA
Source: RNAcentral